AUUGAACGCUGGCGGCAGGCCUAACACAUGCAAGUCGAACGGUAACAGGGAUCAGCUUGCUGUUUCGCUGACGAGUGGCGGACGGGUGUGUCAUGUCUGGGAAACUGCCUGAUGGAGGGGGAUAACUACUGGAAACGGUAGCUAAUACCGCAUAACGUCGCAAGACCAAAGAGGGGGACCUUCGGGCCUCUUGCCAUCGGCUGUGCCCAGAUGGGAUUAGCUAGUAGGUGGGGUAACGGCUCACCUAGGCGACGAUCCCUAGCUGGUCUGAGAGGAUGACCAGCCACACUGGAACUGAGACACGGUCCAGACUCCUACGGGAGGCAGCAGUGGGGAAUAUUGCACAAUGGGCGCAAGCCUGAUGCAGCCAUGCCGCGUGUAUGAAGAAGGCCUUCGGGUUGUAAAGUACUUUCAGCGGGGAGGAAGGGAGUAAAGUUAAUACCUGUGCUCAUUGACGUUACCCGCAGAAGAAGCAACGGCUAACUCCGUG
RNAcentral lists this ribosomal RNA (490 nucleotides) under uncultured bacterium. RNAcentral describes it as "partial 16S ribosomal RNA". It matches the Rfam family "Bacterial small subunit ribosomal RNA", at positions 30 to 507 of the family's 1533-position model. The record is from RNAcentral.